This 306-nucleotide ribosomal RNA is filed under the name uncultured bacterium. RNAcentral's name for it is "partial 16S ribosomal RNA". It matches the Rfam family "Bacterial small subunit ribosomal RNA", at positions 505 to 809 of the family's 1533-position model. The record is from RNAcentral.
GACAGCAGUAGCCACGGUAAUACGGAGGGGGCUAGCGUUGUUCGGAAUUACUGGGCGUAAAGCGCACGUAGGCGGCUUGGUAAGUUAGAGGUGAAAGCCCGGAGCUCAACUCCGGAAUUGCCUUUAAGACUGCCGAGCUAGCAGGUGAGAGAGGUAAGUGGAAUUCCGAGUGUAGAGGUGAAAUUCGUAGAUAUUCGGAAGAACACCAGUGGCGAAGGCGGCUUACUGGCUCAUACUGGACGCUGAGGUGCGAAAGCGUGGGGAGCAAACAGGAUUAGAUACCCGAGUAGUCCCUGUCUCUUAUAU